AGCGGCUGUUCAGCGGGAGUCCAGCGUUUGUUCAAUGACCUAAGGCGAUCCUCAUCCCUCGUAACCAUCCUCGACGUCCCUUGAGGCUCGGUGCUCCUUGAUCAAAGCUCGACUGAGCUCGAAUCGCACAAAAAAUGUCAAAUAGUAAUUACCUAAUACUCGAGCUCAAUGAGGCAAGAUUACCUUAGGCAACAAAGGCUAGAGCUCACACUAAGGUCAAAUUUUCAUGCUUGAAAUCUGAAGUUUAGAUGUUGGAGAAGUUGCUGGGAUGAGGUUGUGGUGUAUGAUGAUGAUUAGAUGACUUGACUGAGCUUGAUCGUUAAUCCUGCAAAAAUCUUGUGCUGAUUGGACUGACCUGAUAAAUGCCUCUGUUUGAGUUA
Molecule: long non-coding RNA, 380 nt
Filed under: Eucalyptus grandis
Lineage: Eukaryota; Viridiplantae; Streptophyta; Magnoliopsida; Myrtales; Myrtaceae
Description: long non-coding RNA (EGRA_LNC004319)
Source: RNAcentral